GGCUGACCUAGAACUCUUGGACUCCUGCUACCAUCCUGCUGCAACUUCCUGAGUAACUGGGACUACAGGUGUGUGCUCACCUCAGCUUUUCUCUCUGACGUGCAAGUUCUAUCUCCAGCCCGACAGCAUGGAACCACAGGUUACUCUAAAUGUGACUUUUAAAAAUGAAACUCAAAGCUUUCUGGUUUCGGAUCCAGAAAAUACAACUUGGGCUGAUGUUGAAGCUAUGGUAAAAGUUUCAUUUGAUCUGAAUACUAUCCAAAUAAAAUACCUGGAUGAGGAAAAUGAGGAGAUAUCCAUCAAUAGUCAAGGAGAAUAUGAAGAAGCACUUAGAUGGCUAACAUUAAGCAAGGAAAUCAACUACAGAUGCAAGUCCACGAAGGGUGCCAUGUUGUAGAUGAAGUGCUCCCCCAAACUGUAGUAGAAAAACAAGCAACUGCCAGGACAGGGAAGAAGCCACUCGCACAUUACUCUUCGCUGGUAAGAGUCUUGGGAUCAGAUAUGAAGACCACAGAGGAGCCUACAGCAGAGGCACGUUCACCUGUUCCUUGUGACACCGACAAGCCUCAAGACAAGCCCCCAGACUGGUUUACAAGCUACCUGGAGAUGUUCAGAGAACAAGUGGUGAAGGAAACGGUGGAGAAGCUUGAACAGAGGUUGCAGGAGAAGCUUGUCCUCCAGA
RNAcentral lists this long non-coding RNA (682 nucleotides) under Rattus norvegicus (Norway rat). RNAcentral describes it as "long non-coding RNA NONRATT004917". The stretch from base 230 to 292 matches the Rfam family "Neighbour of BRCA1 gene 2 converved region". Lineage: Eukaryota; Metazoa; Chordata; Mammalia; Rodentia; Muridae. The record is from RNAcentral.